GCGAGGAGGAAGGACGUCCCGCGACGCUGCGCUCCGCCACGCCGCGCCGACGAGCGCUAGACGUCGCGACAACCGUGCCUCCGCGUCACGUUCGGUCACGCUCGUGACACCGUCGUCACGUCGUGACGUCACCGGAAGGAUUACCACCCAGCCAAGUGCGGGCAAGGCUGUUGUUGUUUUUGCGGUGUGUCCGCCGAGUGCCCUUACAAAGUGCUGUGCUUAAUUGGUCAUUAGUUUCUCGAUCAUGGAAACAAGCGAGUGAGUCGCCCAGUCGACUUUGAUCGAAAGUGCCCUUGUGAGUGAUUGCCAGCAAGGAUUACCCGCCUGGACCUUGGAUACGCCGCUAGGAUACCCGGCCGGGAUUAUCUCAGAUUGAGCCAGGCGGACGCGUUUUCGAGACGGGACGCCGGAACGCAGUGCAGCCAAGAUGACGCGGUCGCGGAGAUAGGCGCGUGCCGCCGCGUGCCGCGCUGUGCUGCGAGGCGGCGAGGCACCCAGGCGCCAUGGAGGGGCUGUGGG
This is a long non-coding RNA of Thrips palmi, 519 nucleotides long. RefSeq lists it as uncharacterized. NCBI's taxonomy places the organism in Eukaryota, Metazoa, Arthropoda, Insecta, Thysanoptera, Thripidae. The transcript has 3 exons. The record is from RefSeq and is a predicted model, not a curated record.